Non-coding RNA from Paramormyrops kingsleyae, 1563 nucleotides. Lineage: Eukaryota; Metazoa; Chordata; Actinopteri; Osteoglossiformes; Mormyridae. The record is from RefSeq and is a predicted model, not a curated record.
ACAGUAAGGACAGUGUGGUUAAAAAUACAAUCACAAAUGCAUGCAGUAUGUCGCUGUAUCGAAGCAUUACCACAGAAGCCCUGGUUUAUAGCAGAAGUCUACACCAGGCUAAAGCCAGGGGAUGUGGGCUUCAGGGCAGGUGCCCCUGUGGCCCUAAGGACAGCUAGAUCUGCUCCGGGACAGACCGUCAGAACCACUGAAAGUGUUCUCUCUCACACACACACAAAAAUACAUCCGUUUCCAUGACAGUAAAAACAGUGUAUAUGCCAAGACAUACAGGCCCUUACAAAUUACUGCCUAUCUCACAUACCACAGAGUGUAAUACAUCGCUCCUUGACAGGCUCAAGCAGGUCUUCGCCCAGUCUUAUCUGUCAACAAGUCAGAGAAGACCACCUCUCCCAGCAAUGAACAAGCACUCCACCUAUCCACAGCAUAAGUGAGGAACACUGUAAAGUGAACCCAGUGGACAGGAGCAGGAAUACAGGGACCUUGUGGAGGCCUUCAGGAACUGGUGCAGUAGAAGCUGCCUCCAGCUUAACACCAAAACCAAGGAGAUGGUGGUGGAUUUUAGAAGAUCUAGGCCACCUCAUCAGCCAGUUUCCAUACAGGGGCAGGACAUCGAGGUGAUGACCUCCUACAAAUACCUGGGGGUCAUAUUGGACGAUAAACUGGAAUGGUCCCUAAAUACAGAUUUCCUUUACAAGAAGGGGCAGAGCUGCUGCUUCUUUCUGCGGAAGCUGAGGUCCUUUGACGUGUGUGAUGACAUGUUGCACAUGUUUUAUCACUCAAUGGUAGCCACUGCCCUCCUUUAUGCUGCUACAUGUUGGGGGUAAAGACUGACAGAUAAAAACACCAAGAGGCUGAACAAGCUGGUGAACAAUGCUGGCUCAGUGCUGGGCAGGAGGCUGGACUCACUUAGAACAGUGGAAGAAAGGGCCACAUUGAACAGAUUGAAAGGUAUAAUGGACAACAGUGGACACCCCCUUCACAGCCUCAUGGUUGGGCAGAGGAGCAGCAGUGGUAGUCGGCUCCUCUCACUGCGCUACAGAACUGAGCGGUUUAGGAGGUCCUUUGUCCCCAUUGCAAUUAGACUUUUUAAUAGUGCUCUCUGACCUCAUCCUCCCAUUCCACCCCCUGUCGUUUAUCUAUUAUAACUGUAUUGUAACUAAAAGACUGUGUUAUGUGUAAUAUGGAUGUAUUUUAGUAUGUACUUUUUUAUUAUUUUUGGAGGGGCUACUGGACAUGUACAUUUCCCCCUUGGGGAUAAAUAAAGUUUCUUUCUGUCUGUCUAUCUAUCUACCAGACAGCCAAUAGGGCCCCCCUAUCACUUUGAGCCCCCAGGAUUCUGCCUAGGCAUGUCUGUUCAUUAAUCCCAUCCUGAUUAUGUUAAUAUAUCUCAAUACUUAUAUUUGGGUCAUUCUGGUUUCAUUGAACAAAAAGUUAAAAAAUGUAACAGUAAAAAAAUUAUAGAUCAUAAGAAAAUACUAGCAUUUUUGCUAUCCAGGGUGUUGAAAUGGCACUAUAUAUCAAAAAGGAUUUUUUAAAUAAAAACAUUUCUGAGUU